GCUCAUAGCUCAGCCGGUUAAAGUGUUGUGCUGAUAAUGCCAAGGUUGCAGGUCCGACCCCUGCAUGCGACA
This is a non-coding RNA of Podarcis lilfordi (Lilford's wall lizard), 72 nucleotides long. The record is from the annotation of a GenBank genome assembly. NCBI's taxonomy places the organism in Eukaryota, Metazoa, Chordata, Lepidosauria, Squamata, Lacertidae.